This 71-nucleotide transfer RNA is filed under the name Oltmannsiellopsis viridis. RNAcentral's name for it is "tRNA-Gly". It matches the Rfam family "tRNA". Rfam says of the family: Transfer RNA (tRNA) molecules are approximately 80 nucleotides in length. Their secondary structure includes four short double-helical elements and three loops (D, anti-codon, and T loops). The record is from RNAcentral. Lineage: Eukaryota; Viridiplantae; Chlorophyta; Ulvophyceae; Oltmannsiellopsidales; Oltmannsiellopsidaceae.
GCGGUUAUAGUUGAAUGGUACAAUUCUCGCCUUCCAAGCGAGAGGUAUGGGUUCGAGUCCCGUUAACCGCA